AUGAGACGAUUGGUGGAAAGCUGACAAUGGGUGGGCGUACAAGAACAUUAAAUACUGGUCUUCUGGUUUGAAUUCCUCACUAAGGAGGAUCACACUGGCGAGCGACAGUCCCUCCUACAUCCACUGUUUGGUCUUGUCGUGCCUUAGUAAAAGACAGGAUGAUUGCGACGUAUUUCUUGGGACUGCUGCUUCCGGUGACCUGCGUCGUGCAUGCGCAGUGGGCACAGACGCUUGGAUGGGGCGGUGCCGGCUUUGGCAAGAGGAUAGUCAGUCCUUCUGUAACAUCACAGCAUCAUUCCCGAUACAUCGCACAGACUGAUCUGCGGAAACCCGAUCCUCGUCAGUCGUUAGCGUCGUCUGACUUGUCUGACCCGACUUCCGACUAUCAGCAGGACCAGUCUCUCAUGAAACUACUCAGCAACAUACUUCAGGAAGAAAUGCAUCGCAUCAAGAAGUGUUUGAACUCGAACUCUGAUGGUCCAGAGAACUGACAUAACGAAGAGCCUCGUGUCGAUGACAGGAUGCGAGAAGUUUGAUCGAGAGUACCACUGAUAUCUGGUGCUACCAUCAAACACGACAGAUUCUCCUGGCUAGAGGAAAAAAAUCCCUUUCUGCUGUCAGGCUUCAUGAAAUCGACCUUUAUCAAAUUACUCAGUCAUCGUAUGUCAUUAAAAAUGUGUUUGCAAAAUCGAGGUUGUAUGUGUGUGGACGCGUGCGCACGUACGAUGAUGACCCUCGCACAAGACAGAGUAAACCAAGUUUAUCUGUGAUCGAAACCAUUCGGUAUGAGAAGAAAAUCGAAUAUUGUAAAGGACCUGGAUAUAGAUUACACUUUUAAUGUAGGUAAGCUUUUGCUUCUAAUCCACUCUCUCUCUCUUCACAUUUCACACCCUUGGCGAGACUGUCAUCGCACAUGUUAAAGGUGGGAGAACAACUGAGCUGAAAGGCUUAUUGACUGCUAAACGGCAAACAAACGGAGAAACAAAUAUAGAAUUUAAGAUGUAAUGGCCAAAAGAUGGAGUGGCCAGAUGCAAAACCUAACAGCAGCAAUAGAACAACACACAUCACGCACAUCAGUAAUGAAACACAACGCAGGGAUUUGUGAUUUUAAAAAAAAAUGAUCAUAUCACAUCAUUUAUACAAGAGGCACCAGGCACAAUUAUGUUGUAGACACAAAAUGCUAAAUAUACUGUACACAUCUAAACAGCAUACGACUGUCUCAAACAACUGGUCAAUGUGGAGAGCUGUACACGAUCACUUGUAAGAAAACCAAUAUCGCCUAUGCAAUCAGCCCUCUGGGAUUAGUUACAAAAUGGCCUUUCUGAACGAGCAGGUCAUUCAGUCAUGUUUUCUAACCAAUGUAUGGCUUUCUUGGCAGCAACUGCCUCCCAAGGGUGUGGCACGAGCUUCUAAUGCUUCACCUUGGACUAGAGUUAGUUCAACCUUGUCCUUCCCAACUUGUUUUCAAUCAAUAAGCAAGCGACUUAAUCAACAAGCUACCCCAAUGAAUGGACCCUCAUUUGUUUAGUUUACAAAAUAAAAAAAGUUGGAAGAAUGAAUUAUUAAUAAUAAUAAAGUUAAUUUAUAUAGCGCUUUAUCCCACUAGUGAUAUGUCAGCCAGUAAGCGCAGACGUCUGCUAAGCACAACUCUCCUCCCCACCCUCAUUAAUCCAGAGCUUCUGCCACAGAAACGUUUCGCAAAAGCUGUAGACAAUAAAGCGGCCAAAAAAAAAAACAUCACCACCAUCUUUAAACCUGAGUGGAUGCAAGUUCCAACUUCUUGCCAGUAAGCUUACUAACAAAUGCCUUCUACUCGCCGCGCGCAGUCCAGUUGGAUCUGACCACACAUCUCCCCAUGCAGUUGUUUGCAGGUAUGUUAACAGUCCUAGGUGAAACAUUACAAGAAACAACAGUACAGGCCAAAACUUUUAGAGAUCAUCACAAGUUGGCGAUAGUCUGUCCCUUUUUUAAUUACAAAUAUCUACAAAGACGCAGAGAUGGGGAGUUGAUGAUGUACAUGGACUGAUGACA
Molecule: long non-coding RNA, 2031 nt
Organism: Pomacea canaliculata
Lineage: Eukaryota; Metazoa; Mollusca; Gastropoda; Architaenioglossa; Ampullariidae
Exons: 3
Source: RefSeq, a predicted model, not a curated record